GACGAACGCUGGCGGCGUGCUUAACACAUGCAAGUCGAACGGAAAGGCCCUGCUUUUGUGGGGUGCUCGAGUGGCGAACGGGUGAGUAACACGUGAGUAACCUGCCCUUGACUGUGGGAUAACUUCAGGAAACUGGGGCUAAUACCGGAUAGGAGCUCCGGCUGCAUGGUGGGGGUUGGAAAGGUUCGGCGGUUGGGGAUGGACUCGCGGCUUAGCAGCUUGUUGGUGGGGGAGUGGCUUACCAAGGCUUUGACGGGUAGCCGGCCUGAGAGGGUGACCGGCGACAUUGGGACUGAGAUACGGCCCAGACUCCUACGGGGGGCAGCAGUGGCGAAUAUUGCGCAAUGGGCGGAAGCCUAAUGCAGCAACGCCGCGUGCGGGAUGACGGCCUUCGGGUUGUAAACCGCUUUCGCCUGUGACGAAGCGUGAGUGACGGUAAUGGGUAAAGAAGCACCGGCUAACUACGUG
Molecule: ribosomal RNA, 468 nt
Filed under: uncultured bacterium
Lineage: Bacteria
Description: partial 16S ribosomal RNA
Rfam family: Bacterial small subunit ribosomal RNA
Source: RNAcentral